Molecule: long non-coding RNA, 9505 nt
Organism: Equus caballus (horse)
Lineage: Eukaryota; Metazoa; Chordata; Mammalia; Perissodactyla; Equidae
Source: Ensembl
ACUCUAAGUCCUUCACCGUUUCAAAGAAGCAAACUCCUAACAGAGAACUCAUGAGAAAUAUGAAGCUGCCCACAUCAACGGCUUCCUCCAGCUCCAUGAGGAUCUCCACUUAAAAUGCGAGAAUGGAAAGGAGCUGAGGCCAAACUCACUGCCAGGCAGCUCACUGACUAGGGAGUGUGUUCACUGUGGCAGUGAAGCCCUACCUUGAACACAGAAUGGGCUCCAACACCCAUCUCCCAGGCAUUCUCUGCAUUGAUGCUGGUAACGUGUUGACUCCAUCAUUACCGGGACAGUCACAAUGCUGAUUACUGGCAGCUGGGGAUGGAGCAGCUCGUCUCAGACUGUGUAACCUAUUGUUUCUAAAGAGCUUCCAGCUGCAGAAGCCUCCAAGCUCUUGGGCCAGCUGUGGAUUCUUUGCUGAGAUGGAGGUGUAACCGAGGAAGGGGCCUGAGAAGUAAGAAGGACGGAAAAUGAAAGCAAAGAGUUUGGAUGACCCGGGCCAUACACAGUGGCCAUGGAGCAGGAGACCAUCUUCCCUGAGGGAUGAGCCGAGGACUUGGCACUCCCCUGACCAUAAAUGGCUUGGCCAGGGCCCUCUUGGAGCCACCUCUUGCCCUGUCACCCUUGCUCUCCCAGCUGGAUGUUACUACAAAUGCGAGACACAAGCCAAUAACGCUAGCUAGAAAGGAGCUUGCCGAGGGCAGUGUUUGCAGAAGGUUCUCGGGAGGCUGUCGGAAAUGAGUUUUUCACUGAACUUUACACUGCCAGCCAACACGGUAAGUACAGCAGUCCCCGUCCACCAGGCAAGUCUGCAAAGAUCAAUGCGGGGUUUACGCUGAGCCUCCAGAACGCCCGCACACGAGCCUCAUGCGGGGGCAUCAGUGACACAGGUUGGCAAAGGCACUUAUGAAUGGUGGUGGGGAGGGGGUGCGGAGAGAAGUUUUUCCAAUUAUAAAAAUUAUAAAUAUACAUUUUGAAAAAGAAAAUAGCAAAAAACCAAAACACCUAAAUUCCCACGAGCAAAAAACAUUGGUGUCACUCCUUCCCCUCCUGUUUGACUCUUCAUAAAUUUUGACUUUUGUUGUCUUUGUACCAUUAUAUUCUCACUCUACAUAUAAUUUUAUAUGGUAAAUAUUUUCUAUCAACCUUUAUAACCAUAUCUGAGGAUGGUCACAUAAUAUUUCUUCAAGUGAAUUAUUUUUAAUUGAUUAAUCACAAUUAGAAAUAAGUUUCUGAUAAACAUAGGUAUAGAUAAAUCUUUGUCUGCCCUAAGAUGAUUUCCUUAGUACGUAGUCUAACAGGAGAAUUAUCAGGUCAACAAGAAUGAACAUUUUAUGGCUCUUGAUUGUGACGUUUAGUUGCAAGUCAACACAGAGCUUUUCAGUUGGUGGUGGCGGACAGUUUCAAUCCAGAGUUGGAUUGAGUGAUUUCAAUCCAUCUUCUGUUCUCACGUUGCGUAGAGAUAACAGCCAGAGUUGUUUUCUGACCAGGAGCACUGCUGUGAUUGAGCUGGGCAUUUUCCUGGCCGAGUUUUUUAGUGAGUUUGGCUGUGCCAAUUUUUCUAGUAAGUCAUGUGGUUAUUCAGAGAGAAUAAGCUGAAUCUCCCUGCCAGGAGGAUGCCCAAGCCAGAGCUCAUGGUUCCUGUAACACGGGCCGUAGUUCUGGAGGGAAGCAGAAAGGUAGAACCUUGUGGCUCCCUAUCGGCCUUCCGGUGCCUGCCACUGACUGCCGUGGACGUCUGUCCCCGACUGCCUGGCACCUGCACCACCUCCUGGGGGGCCCAGCCUUCUGAACCUCCCUGCUCCAGCCUCUGCCUGUCUGCUGUCUGCAGACCAAUUCCCCUAUCCCUCUCCUUAUCUGUCAAAACCUUAAUAUGGUCACUGCUGGAACUUCCUCCCUGGCUGCUCGAAGACAACAGGUCUGUAGAGACCCCAGGUUCUGUCUUAUCCUGGCUUGGCCCAUCCUGAGAAGGCCACUCAGAAAAGCAACAGGCCAUUGCUUGAGGCGGUGGAGGUGAGUGGGGUGAAGGGGAGGCCCUUGUGAUGCUGGUCCUCACCUUGUGGAGCAUUUCCUUGGUUAACAGCCUAUUUCUCUGGGAACUGUCCCCUCCACCCUUUGAACCUAUGCAGGGCAGCCAACCAUCCCGGACUGCCUGGGACUGUCUGGUUUUAGCACUGAACGUCCUGCAUCCUGGGCAACCUCUCUGGAAAACCAGGACACUUGGUCACCCUGCCUGGCAGUUAUGUUCUACCACAGGACAUUCCCUGUUGGUGCAGCUGAAUGACGGGGAGUGCCAGCGCCCCAGGAAGUGGGGGAGAGGUGAUGCCCGGCUCAUCAGAGUCCAGCCUCUCUGCAGGGGGUUUGGAACAGGGCCACAUAUGCAAGUCAGUCUCUGCUGGGCCACACUGAAGUGUCGAGUACAAAGGCUGGGUUGGGGUGCUGCAGCUGGUCAUGGAAGGCAGUGUAGCACAGUGGUUAAGGGAGCCACACCACUCAGCAUCCGCCACUUAGGGCCGUGUGAUCUCACAUGAGUUACUUCACUUCUCUGGGCCUCGCUCUUCUCAUCUGUAAAAUGGGGAUCACUAUAGUCCUGCCUCACUGGCUGUUGUGAAGAAUAAAUGAGCCGGUAGCAGGAAAAGUACUUGAACAGCCUGGCACAUGGUAUGUUCUCCAUAAUUGUUAGCUGGUACGAUUAGCAAGUGUUCACAAGGGCAGAAAAGUCCAUCUGGAGAGAGAAAGAAGAGCACAGGGAAAGGCCAUGCUGCCCAGGAGAGAAGGAGAGCCCCCGGGAGCAGGGGCUUUGCUCCUGACAGGUUCCCAGGUCCUAGCUCCAUGAGAUGCUGGAUUCCCGCUGCCCUCGGGCUCCACGAGGCACCCCGUGUCCUCAGAGUUAACUCCUUUGUGUUUUGGCCAAAGCCAGCCUAAGUGAAUUUCUGAAGUCUGAAGACAAAACCUCUUUCCCAAAACCGUGUUCGACUCUUCCGCCCCUUGAGAAAUAGAACAAUUUAGGCAAAAGGCAGCAUUAAGGUAAUGUGGGGGGUGGGGUGAGACCGCGUUUAGGUAAAAGUGUAGCCUCUUAAGUACCAAGCGUCAGAGCCUCGUAAUGGAACCCUCCUUUGAUGGGAGCCCUCUGGGAAAGAGGCCCAGGCUUGGAAUUCAAAUACCCAAGUUCAGAUUCGAUUUAUUUAAAAGCCCAAGCCCCAGGGACUCCAAUGUACUCACCGAGAUGGACGAGAGGACUAAAUAAAUAGCGAGCCUGACUAGAGCUUUGCUAAGUUUAAGGGGAUGAUGCUCGUUUGAUCGUCUGAUCCUCAUAACAACCCCAGAGGGAGGUGCUAACAUCCCUAUUUUAGAGAUGAAGAAAUGAGCUCCCUUAACUGGUGAGUGGAGAUGUCACCAUUCCACUCCAGGCAGUGUGAGCCCGGGACACACGCCGUCAGCGCCACACUGCACCACCUAGUGUACGCAGACGACACAGCUGGCCUCUAAUGUAGAACUCUGUUCCCUGAGAUUUACUGAUUGAGGUAAGACUCUUUCUAGAAAUAUCUCAUAAGUGGGUGAAAUCCAGUGCCCAUCCUUGAGUGGAGAUGUGCAACGGAAACACGCAACGUAUUCAUUGAAUGCGGAAUUAUCUCAGGAGCAAGGAUAAUUCACACCUUCCGAUAACUCAAUAACAAGGAAGGCUUCCUUAAAGAGCCUGACUUCCGCCAGUGUUUAUGUUUGUUUCCCUUCUAGCAAUGGGCACAAGUAGGCCGACAGUGUGCUGGGAAGACAUGGUGACUGAGAAAGCCUUUCUGAGUUUUAAAAUGUGUUAUGGUAAAUCCAGGGUGAAUAAUGAAGACCUCACUUGAAUUUCUGUAUUCUCUCUCCUUGUAGCCAAAUUUCACUGCCAUUCUUACCUGGGAAGCAAUCAAGUAGGGUUCUAUUUGGCAGUUGUCAUUUGUUGUUUUCAAUAGAAAGUUUGGCAGAUGGGUGAACUUCAGGCACUAUGGCUUAAUCUUUGGCAGACUGUCUUGUAUAACAUGCAUUCUAUAGAUUCUUUUCUUAAGAUGUGUGUUCUUCUUCCACACAGACUUCCUCCCCGGUUGUUACAGAUGGGAAAGGAGCAGUACGUAUAUCACUUAAAUGAUGGAGCCUCAGUUUGGUCAUUUAUAAAAUGGACAUAAUAAUGCUCUACUGUCUGGUGCAUUCGUUUUGAGGAUUAGAUAGCAUUUGAUAUAUGAACUGUCACCAAGCACAGAAUCUGGCUCAACUAUUAUUCUUAGGACCAACUCAGCUCAAAAGUGAGGGAUAAUGUGCAAAAUCACAGAUGGAUUUCACAAAUUGCUGAGCAAAAGAGGCUAGAAUCAGAAGAGUACAUACUUUCCAUUUGCAUCUAGAUGACAUUGAAAAACAGGACUGUGGGCCCUCUCUCGGAUUAGCAGCAGGCAUCCCAUCCCUGGUGGCCACAGCCCUGCUGGUGGCUUUGCUAUUUACUCUGAUUCACCGAAGAAGAAGCAGCAAUGAGUCUGCCGAGGAAAGUGAGAGGCCAUGUGAAAUUUCAGAAAUCUAUGACAGUCCCAGGAUAGCUGAGAAUCCUAGGAGGGCACCCACACACGGGAAGAAUAUGAUGGGAUCUGAAGAAUCUCACAUAUAUGUGAAGACUGUAGCAGGAAGCGAGGAGCCCAUGCAUGACACUUACCGUCCUACUGAAGAAAUGGAGAGAAGAAGGGGAUUGUGGUGGCUUAUGCCCAGACUGAGCUUGGAAUGAUGUGGCUCAGCCAAAGAGCAGAUCUGGUGCUGGAACAGAGCUGAAAACCCAGGGAUUUAUGCUUGAGUGAGGAGAGAUGCCAAACUGCUUCUUAACCAAUCUCAAUUUCAUUGACAGAUCUGGAAAACUUUUGGGUUGAUUUGUCUCUUUAGGGAACAGAUCUGCAAAGGUUCAUUCCAACUCUCAGAUCUUGUGGUUUAAUAAGCAGUAAAGCACAAAGUGUGGUCACUGUGCAUCCAGAAGGAGCCUUUGGAUCCUGUUCCUGACCCCAGUGGGAAUUCGCUUUUCUUUGUGAUUUUGGGAAAGGGACUUGAUUUCUGAGUGUCUUGCCUUCUCAUCUUUUUUCACAUCCUUUUCCUCAAAAAAGUCAUCAGACCUGGAUUCCAUGGGAGAGUUGACCAAGGCCAACAUGGGGUACAAAUUGGGACAUAAAUGAAGCUUACAGGGAAUGUGCAAGGGGAAGCAGUUCCUUGUUUCUGAACAUCUCAGGGUAGAAAUCAUGUGGAACCACACAGUCCCUGACCACAGGUGCAGCAUGUGACUGGAUCAUUCAUUGCUCCACCUGGGUCUGUGAUCAGAGAGUAUUCAAGGAAGGCAAUUCUGCAAUGAACUGUGUGUGUGUUGAGGGUCAGUAGGGUAGAAGGAAGGCAGAGGUUUCGAAAGAUUAUUAGAAAUGAUGGCUAUAUCCAUUUUGUGGGAUUAGAGAGAAAGGUCCAAGUCCUUGGACUAUCAUGGGGAAAAACUCACCGGCAGGAAGAGAGAUCAAGAGGACUCUGAGUGGAUGAACACAGGACCAAAGGGGUGGGACAGGUAGUAAUGUGCCUGCCACCUGAGGGAAGCCCGUGGACAGCGUCAGCCAGCUGGAGGCAGGCCUUCACCAUUGCUUCUGUGAGGAAUCCUCCAGGAAUCCUGGUUCCUCCACAUAGGGCCAUUGCUCAUGAGUAGGCUGGGUUUCCUGGUGGGAGAACCUGGGUUCAGGACCUCUUGGGGUUCAUCCACCAGCUCCAUGCACCACCAUGAUAAGCUGUAGAAACAUUCCUUUCUCACACAGGACCUCUGAUUGCUCAGAAACACACCCCCUCUUCUUCAAAUAACCAAGAAUAGGUUCUACAAACUCAAUCACUGCCAUGUGCCAACACCUGAUUUUCAAAACCCCUUGUGAAAUUCAAUUUUGCGCUAAGUCCCCUAGGUCCAGUCACCUUGACAAGCAAAUGUGGCCAUUUUUAAGCAGAUGUGCCCAGUGAUCCAGGUGCUUGUACUUCUCUUACAUGUUGGGAAGGACCUUGAAUUUGCUGAGAACUUGACUGUGGCCUUGGUCUUGACACUUAUAAGUUCAAGCCCUGGGGCAAAUUGUUGACCCGCAGAAGCUUCGAUUCUUCCCUUACGAAAUGGAGAUAGCAGUUCUCAUCCUUCCACCCCCAGGGUGGUUGUGAGGAUUGAAACACGCAUGUGAAUAAAGCUUGUAGUCUAUAAGGUAAUGUGUGACUUGUAUUUUGGAUCAUUUAUUUUUAUUCCACUUAUAAUUCAUUGCUCAGAGUCUUUAUUUCAAAUUGUUUCUACUAAAAUAGCAAGAUUCAGUAUUCCUGUCAUUUUUUUUCCUGCUAUGAUGUGCAAGAACUUAUUUUGGAAUAAAGUGAAAAGUAAAAUGGUCAUUUUUAUAGACAUACAACACAUCUGUGGUUUCUCUUGGCCUAUAUUAAAGUCUAUGACAUUGGCCCUGGGGUUGGAAUCAAGGUUAUCCCGGGGAUUUUUCUGGUGCUGGCUCUCUCUGGGGCUGAUGAGGGAGGUGUUCAUUUCUUCAUUUAGGGCAGCCUGUGUUGUGGGAAACUACAGGGACCAGAAGUCAGAAGCUGUAGCUCUCUGACCCAGGGCUGGUACGAGCUUAGGGAUGACUCUGGGCCAGUCGCAUUUUAUCUCCUUUCUUCAUGUACCACUUGGUGUUUGGGUUGGCUUGUCUCUAAGGUUAACUCCACCCAGUUCAAACAUUCUAACUUUGAUUUUCCAAAUUCUGCAAAGUAGGGCCUCCCCUUCCGCCUCCCUGCUCACCGCUCCCGUCAGCACAGCCUUCUGGACCUUGCAAAGUCCUUCUCAGCUCUUGGCUUUGGAGGUGGAGAGAGAGACUUAUUUCUCCUGUAUCCUGCCAAUAGACAACAGUUUCACAUAGCUUUCCUUGUGGCAUUUAUCACUGCAAAAGCGUAAUGCCAAUUAAAGACAAAAAACAUGAAGAAUGACUAAUGUUUGAAGCAUUGUCUAUUUAUACGAUCUUGCACUCCCACCAUCCUGGUGGAAAUUAUUGAUUAAUGCAUGAGUUAAUUUAACAAAUGGGCAUUGGCUUCCCUCAUGUGUCAGACCAUCUGCCGGGUCCUAUGAUAAGAUUGGAGACAUAAUGAAGAGGCUAAAGGCAACUGGGCUUUCCAGGAAAUGUCUCUCUACCAAAUGAACAUGGAGUCUCCUAUCCACUCAAGGAAACACUAUUAGGAAAGCUUUCAUAGAGGUGCUUUCCUUCUAGACUCAAAGACACAAAACAGACUCUUUCUUCCUUCUGGGCUCAAAUGAAAGAAGAAUCUACACUCUCUUUUCUUCGUUUUCCUUUACCUGAAGUUGUAGAAGGAGAGAUGGGCCUGACCCUUCCUGCCGCAGGGCACUCCGAAUGACUGAAGACCGAAAAGCCUGGUUAUGUCAGGGAAUACCUCAAAAUGCUGUGCCUACAAGAGAAACUCAGAGAAGGCUCUCUCUCCUCCACUCUGUAAUGAGGCUACCUCAACUCCAAUAAGUCAAGAGGUGUCAAAAAUACCAAAAUUGGGCAUGUGAGAGUGGGGAAGAAUUUGUAAGAUGGCUGAGUCUGUCCCAUAGGCUAUAGGAAGAAUUUGAAAACUGAUGGCGGCCUUUGAAGGACAGGCCACGUGUAACUUGGGGCUUAAAACUGAUUUGUAAUGACGGUGAAUCCAGUUCUCACAGAGUUAUGUUUGUAAGACUAAAAUGGGUUGAAAGAUUUGGCUGUGAGCGAGAACAAACCAUGAUCAAAUAAUUCUACUGGAAAUACAACUGAUUCUGUGACAAGGAAUCAGACAGUGAUUAUUUUUUCCAUUUUAUUUAUUUUCUUUUUUUCAUUUUAAUUUUUGUUUUUAUAGUAGUAACAUUGGAUAACAUUAUGUAACUUUCAGAUGUACAUCAUAAUAUAUUUCAAAUUCUGUGUAGAUUAUAUCACGUUCACCCCGCAAAGACUAAUUAUAAUCCAUCACCACACAUUCGCCUAAUCACCCCUUUCACCCUCCUCCCUACCCGUUUCCCCUCUGGCAACCAUCAGUCCAAUCUCUGUUGCUAUGUGUUUGUUGUUGUUUUAUCUUCUACUUAUGAAUGAGAUCAUAUGGCACUUGACUUUCUCCCUCUGACUUAUUUCACUUAGCAUAAUUCCCUCAAGGUCUACCCAUGUUGUCACAAAUGGCUGGAUUUCAUCCUUUCUUAUGGCUGAGUAGUAUUCCAUUGUGCACGUAUACCACAUCUUAUUUAUCCAUUUGUCCCUUGAUGGGCACCUAGGUUGCUUCCAAGUCUUGGCUAUUGUGAACAAUGCUGUGACAAACAUAGGGGUGCAUGUAUCUUUAUGCAUUUGUGCUUUCAAGUUCUUUGGAUAAAUACUAGGCAGUGGACUAGCUGGAUCAUAUGGUAGAUCUAUUCUUAAUUUUCUGAGGAGACUCCAUCCUGUUUUCCAUAGUGGCUGCACCAGUUAAAAUGUCCGUACUUCCUAAAGCAGUCUAUAGAUUCAAUGAAUCCCUAUCAAAGUUCCAACAACAUUUUUCACAGAAAUAGAACAAAGAAUCCUAAAAUUUAUAUAGAACAACAAAAGACCCCGAAUAGCCAAAGGAAUCCUGAGGAAAAAGAACAAAGCUGGAGGUAUCACACUCCCUGAUUUCAAAAUAUACUACAAAGCUAUAGUAACCAAAACAGCAUGGCACAAAAACAGACACACAGAUCAAUGGAACAGAAUCAAGAGCCCAGAAACAAACCCACACAUUUAUGGACAGCUAAUUUUAGACAAGGGAGCCAAGAGCAUACAAUGGAUAAAGGAGAGUCUCUUCACUAAAUGAUGUUGGGAAAACUGGACAGCCACAUGCAACAGACGGUGAUUAUUGCUGACUCACUGGACCAGGGAUUAUCCAUUUAUGAAGGCCAAGGUAAGACUGUGUGUUUUUGUCUUGAGAGCAAGAGAAAGCCUUGUUUGUGUCCCCUUCCUUCUAGUUCCCGCUGCUCUAACCAUAUGGGCCUCCUCUCUGCCCCUCAGAUGCCAUGGUCCCACCAGCAACACAGGCUUCCUCUCUGCUCCCCAGGCACUGGGAUCUUCCAGCUGUAAGGGCUUUCUCUCUGCUCAUUUGAUGCUAUGGUCCCUCCUGCCACAUGGGCCUUCUCUCUGCUUUUCAGACAACACAGCCUUCCACAUAUGGCCUUUGCACAUGCUGUUGAUGAGACAGAGCAGGCAGUCCAGGGAGGCCAAGGUCAACAGAAUUUAUAGGACAGAGGAGAGGAGGGAGUUGCAUGGAGACAGAACUCAGAGAUCUGUAGAGGAUUCUUCUUGAAUGUCUGACUGAGUAUUGAUCAGCACAUGCAUGUGAGGAAACUACCCAAGGCUGAGACAAGAACCACUCAAACUGUAUUAGUUUCUAAUACAGUUUUACAUUGUUCCCAGACAGCCAGAGUAGAAAACAUCAUAAUUCACCAGGCAUCAAGUAGAGUAGUAAGAAAAGUACUGCCUCAGUAGUG